UUGACCGUCGCCGGAUCUGCAGCUGUCAGCGGCGCCUUCUGCAGGGGCGGCUUGCUCCGUGCGUUGGGGUGUGUGGUGGGAGGGCCUCUGGCGAAAGCCAUGCCCGCUUGCGGGCGGACAGCGGUGACGCCCGCGGGCGCCACCCCUACCCUAUUGAGGGUGCCGUCUUUGGUCCUCUCGCCACCAUGCGGGAACCCUCGUCUCGGCCUUCUUGGGGUCUCCCGCUGGUGCUCGUCCGACGUUAGGGCUCUGAGGGUUGGUGCGUCGGCGGACGACAGUAGGUCUUCGGAGGAAACUUUGCUUGGUUGGUACCAGGCGGGCGGCGACGACUCGUUUCUCCUUCUUGAAGGCGCGGCCCAGAAGACCUAGUUUGUGUGUUCGUCGGCGUUGUGGAGGCUCUUUGUCACUCCGCUUGGCUCGGUGGUGUCGAGGCCAUUGUCGCUUUAGGCGUCUGCUUGCUCCCGGAGUUCGGCGUUGUGGAUCUUUGCUCGUGGUGAAGAAUCAGAGCUGCCUCGUGUGGGGUGUGCGAGGCUUGGCAACGAUGGCGCGUCGUGAUCUUAUUCCUUGCGUCGGUGUCUGGAUUUAGGCGUCAUCGAGUUGCUUUGGCAGUGUGUGGCUCGUCUUGGGAAGUCGGAGCUGCUCGUCCCUUGUGUUUGAGCUUGGCAACGAUGACUCUAGAUGUGUUUGUGUGUGUGAGGCUAUUGUUGUCUAGGUGGUUUGUUAGGGCCUU
Molecule: unclassified non-coding RNA, 730 nt
Filed under: Zea mays
Lineage: Eukaryota; Viridiplantae; Streptophyta; Magnoliopsida; Poales; Poaceae
Description: misc RNA Zm00001eb085550
Source: RNAcentral